RNAcentral lists this transfer RNA (71 nucleotides) under Bos taurus (domestic cattle). It matches the Rfam family "tRNA". From Rfam's summary of the family: Transfer RNA (tRNA) molecules are approximately 80 nucleotides in length. Their secondary structure includes four short double-helical elements and three loops (D, anti-codon, and T loops). Further hydrogen bonds mediate the characteristic L-shaped molecular structure. tRNAs have two regions of fundamental functional importance: the anti-codon, which is responsible for specific mRNA codon recognition, and the 3' end, to which the tRNAs corresponding amino acid is attached (by aminoacyl-tRNA synthetases). tRNAs cope with the degeneracy of the genetic code in two manners: having more than one tRNA (with a specific anti-codon) for a particular amino acid; and 'wobble' base-pairing, i.e. permitting non-standard base-pairing at the 3rd anti-codon position. The record is from Rfam by way of RNAcentral. RNAcentral also lists the same sequence under 4 other names. Lineage: Eukaryota; Metazoa; Chordata; Mammalia; Artiodactyla; Bovidae.
UCCCAGAUGGCUCAGUGGUAAAGAGUCUGCCUGAAAUUCAGGAGAUGCAGGUUCAAUUCCUGGGUUGUGAA